RNAcentral lists this ribosomal RNA (449 nucleotides) under uncultured bacterium. RNAcentral describes it as "bacterial SSU rRNA". It matches the Rfam family "Bacterial small subunit ribosomal RNA", at positions 29 to 506 of the family's 1533-position model. The record is from RNAcentral.
AUGAACGCUGGCGGCGUGCCUAACACAUGCAAGUCGAACGGUAACAGGUCUAGUUUACUAGAUGCUGACGAGUGGCGGACGGCUGAGUAACGCGUGGGAACGUGCCCCAAAGUGAGGAAUAAGCACCGGAAACGGUGUCUAAUGCCGCAUAUGAUCUUCGGAUUAAAGAAUUUAUUCGCUUUGGGAGCGGCCCGCGUUAGAUUAGGUAGUUGGUGAGGUAAAGGCUCACCAAGCCCACGAUCUAUAGCUGGUCUGAGAGGAUGACCAGCCAGACUGGAACUGAGACACGGUCCAGACUCCUACGGGAGGCAGCAGUGAGGAAUCUUCCACAAUGGGCGAAAGCCUGAUGGAGCAACGCCGCGUGCAGGAUGAAGGCCUUCGGGUCGUAAACUGCUUUUAUAAGUGAAGAAUAUGACGGUAACUUAUGAAUAAGGAUCGGCUAACUACGU